This 284-nucleotide small RNA is filed under the name Arabidopsis thaliana (thale cress). Its description in RNAcentral is "ATSL034260". Lineage: Eukaryota; Viridiplantae; Streptophyta; Magnoliopsida; Brassicales; Brassicaceae. The record is from RNAcentral.
UGUAUCUUCUAACAAGAAAACACUAAUUAGGCUUUUAAGAUCUCAUUUCGAUUCUAGUUUUUAUACUCAAUCAUACAGAUGACACAAGUCAUAUUUGACUCCAAAUCAUGAACCAAGCCUCUUCUUGUUGUUCAAAGCUUUGAUUUUGUAGCAAAGUCCGUAUGAUUCUUUGGCUUUGUAUCUACAAACAAGGAAACACUACUUAGGCUUUUUAGAUCCGCUUGCGGUUCUAGUUCUUAUACUCAAUCAUACGCAUGCAAUCUAGUCAUAUUUGACUCCAAAAG